Molecule: non-coding RNA, 78 nt
Organism: Podarcis lilfordi (Lilford's wall lizard)
Lineage: Eukaryota; Metazoa; Chordata; Lepidosauria; Squamata; Lacertidae
Source: the annotation of a GenBank genome assembly
UGCUGAAGGGAUGGCUCAGUUGGUAGAGCGUGAGGCUCUUCAUCUUGGGGUUGUGGGGUUUGAGCCCCACUUUGGUGG